This 465-nucleotide ribosomal RNA is filed under the name uncultured Klebsiella sp. RNAcentral's name for it is "bacterial SSU rRNA". It matches the Rfam family "Bacterial small subunit ribosomal RNA", at positions 338 to 795 of the family's 1533-position model. The record is from RNAcentral. Lineage: Bacteria; Pseudomonadati; Pseudomonadota; Gammaproteobacteria; Enterobacterales; Enterobacteriaceae.
CCUACGGGGGGCUGCAGUGGGGAAUAUUGCACAAUGGGCGCAAGCCUGAUGCAGCCAUGCCGCGUGUGUGAAGAAGGCCUUCGGGUUGUAAAGCACUUUCAGCGGGGAGGAAGGCGGUGAGGUUAAUAACCUCAUCGAUUGACGUUACCCGCAGAAGAAGCACCGGCUAACUCCGUGCCAGCAGCCGCGGUAAUACGGAGGGUGCAAGCGUUAAUCGGGAUUACUGGGCGUAAAGCGCACGCAGGCGGUCUGUCAAGUCGGAUGUGAAAUCCCCGGGCUCAACCUGGGAACUGCAUUCGAAACUGGCAGGCUAGAGUCUUGUAGAGGGGGGUAGAAUUCCAGGUGUAGCGGUGAAAUGCGUAGAGAUCUGGAGGAAUACCGGUGGCGAAGGCGGCCCCCUGGACAAAGACUGACGCUCAGGUGCGAAAGCGUGGGGAGCAAACAGGAUUAGAUACCCUUGUAGUC